AUUGAACGCUGGCGGCAUGCCUUACACAUGCAAGUCGAACGGCAGCGCGGGAGCAAUCCUGGCGGCGAGUGGCGAACGGGUGAGUAAUACAUCGGAACGUGCCCAAUCGUGGGGGAUAACGCAGCGAAAGCUGUGCUAAUACCGCAUACGAUCUACGGAUGAAAGCAGGGGAUCGCAAGACCUUGCGGGUAUGGAGCGGCCGAUGGCAGAGUAGGUAGUUGGUGGGGUAAAGGCCCACCAAGCCUUCGAUCUGUAGGUGGUCUGAGAGGACGACCAGCCACACGGGGACGGAGACACGGCCCAGACUCCUACGGGAGGCAGCAGUGGGGAAGUUUGGACAAUGGGCGAAAGCCUGAUACAGCCAUGCCGCGGGCAGGAUGAAGGCCUUCGGGUUGUAAACUGCUUUUGGACGGAACGAAACGGUCUUUUCUAAUAAAGAAGGCUAAUGACGGUACCGUAAGAAUAAGCACCGGCUAACUACGUG
Molecule: ribosomal RNA, 484 nt
Filed under: uncultured bacterium
Lineage: Bacteria
Description: partial 16S ribosomal RNA
Rfam family: Bacterial small subunit ribosomal RNA
Source: RNAcentral